CCCUUAGACGUUCUGGGCCGCACGCGCGCUACACUGACGAAGGCAACGAGCUUUCCUUUACCGAAAGGUACGGGUAAUCUUUUGAAACUUCGUCGUGCUGGGGAUAGAUCCUUGCAAUUUUUGAUCUUAAACGAGGAAUGCCUAGUAAGCGCAAGUCAUCAACUUGCGUUGAUUACGUCCCUGCCCUUUGUACACACCGCCCGUCGCUACUACCGAUUGAAUGGUUUAGUGAGGCCUUCGGAUCCGCGACUCGUUCGUGGAGAAGUUGGACAAACUCAGUCAUUUAGAGGAAGUAAAAGUCGUAACA
RNAcentral lists this ribosomal RNA (307 nucleotides) under uncultured eukaryote. RNAcentral's name for it is "partial 18S ribosomal RNA". It matches the Rfam family "Eukaryotic small subunit ribosomal RNA", at positions 1470 to 1796 of the family's 1831-position model. The record is from RNAcentral.